RNAcentral lists this ribosomal RNA (477 nucleotides) under uncultured bacterium. RNAcentral describes it as "bacterial SSU rRNA". It matches the Rfam family "Bacterial small subunit ribosomal RNA", at positions 365 to 832 of the family's 1533-position model. The record is from RNAcentral.
UUCGCAAUGCCCGAAAGGGUGACGAAGCGACGCCGCGUGUGGGAAGAAGGCCUUCGGGUUGUAAACCACUGUCGGGAGUUAAGAAAUGCAAGGAUAUGAAUAGUGUCUUUGCUUGACUAAGGCUCCGGAGGAAGCCACGGCUAACUCUGUGCCAGCAGCCGCGGUAAUACAGAGGCGGCAAGCGUUGUUCGGAAUUAUUGGGCGUAAAGAGCACGUAGGCGGCUAUGUAAGUCGGUUGUGAAAGCCUUCCGCUCAACGGGAGAACAGCAUCCGAUACUGCAUGGCUUGAGUGCGGGAGGGGAGAGUGGAACCUCUGGUGGAGCGGUGAAAUGCGUAGAUAUCAGAAGGAACGCCGGCGGCGAAAGCGGCUCUCUGGCUCAUAACUGACGCUGAGUGUGCGAAAGCUAGGGGAGCAAACGGGAUUAGAUACCCCGGUAGUCCUAGCCGUAAACGAUGGGCACUAAGUAGAGGGGUUUU